RNAcentral lists this ribosomal RNA (253 nucleotides) under uncultured bacterium. RNAcentral's name for it is "partial 16S ribosomal RNA". It matches the Rfam family "Bacterial small subunit ribosomal RNA", at positions 524 to 776 of the family's 1533-position model. The record is from RNAcentral.
UACAGAUGCCUCGAGCGUUAGGCGGAAUCACUGGGCUUAAAGCGUGUGUAGGUGGAUGCCUAAGUACCUUGUGAAAUCCCACGGCUUAACCGUGGAACUGCUGGGUAUACUGGGCGUCUUGAGCCACUCAGGGGCUACCGGAACAAGCGGUGGAGCGGUGAAAUGCGCAGAUAUCAGGAGGAACACCGGUGGCGAAGGCGGUUCUCUGGGCAUUACCUGACGCUGAGGAGCGAAAGUGUGGGGAGCGAACAGG